This 194-nucleotide ribosomal RNA is filed under the name gamma proteobacterium P10. RNAcentral's name for it is "partial 16S ribosomal RNA". It matches the Rfam family "Bacterial small subunit ribosomal RNA", at positions 338 to 524 of the family's 1533-position model. The record is from RNAcentral. Lineage: Bacteria; Pseudomonadati; Pseudomonadota; Gammaproteobacteria.
CCUACGGGAGGCAGCAGUGGGGAAUAUUACACAAUGGGCGCAAGCCUGAUGCAGCCAUGCCGCGUGUGUGAAGAAGGCCUUCGGGUUGUAAAGCACUUUCAGUCAGGAGGAAAGGUUAGUAGUUAAUACCUGCUAGCUGUGACGUUACUGACAGAAGAAGCACCGGCUAACUCCGUGCCAGCAGCCGCGGUAAU